CCCUUAGAUGUUCUGGGCCGCACGCGUGCUACACUGAGUGGAUCAGCGGGUCAGGUUGCGCGAAAGCGUUUCCUAAUCUUUAAAUCCGCUCGUGAUGGGGAUUGACGGUUGCAAUUUUCUGUCAUGAACGAGGAAUACCUUGUAAGCGCGGGUCAUCAUCCCGCGCUGAAUACGUCCCUGCCUUUGUACACACCGCCCGUCGCUCCUACCGAUUGAGUGGUCCGGUGAGGCUUUGGGAUCUGAGCGGAAAGAGCGUUUCGCUGUUUCUGCUCGGAAAACUCAGUCGAACCUUAUCAUUUAGAGGAAGGAGAAGUCGUAACA
This 321-nucleotide ribosomal RNA is filed under the name uncultured eukaryote. Its description in RNAcentral is "partial 18S ribosomal RNA". It matches the Rfam family "Eukaryotic small subunit ribosomal RNA", at positions 1470 to 1796 of the family's 1831-position model. The record is from RNAcentral.